GAUUCUGGCUCAGGAUGAACGCUGGCGGCGUGCCUAACACAUGCAAGUCGAGCGAUUACUUCGGUAAAGAGCGGCGGACGGGUGAGUAACGCGUGGGUAACCUGCCUCAUACACAUGGAUAACAUACCGAAAGGUAUGCUAAUACAGGAUAAUAUAAGAGAUUCACAUGGAUUUCUUAUCAAAGCUCCGGCGGUAUGAGAUGGACCCGCGUCUGAUUAGCUAGUUGGUAAGGUAAUGGCUUACCAAGGCGACGAUCAGUAGCCGACCUGAGAGGGUGAUCGGCCACAUUGGAACUGAGACACGGUCCAAACUCCUACGGGAGGCAGCAGUGGGGAAUAUUGCACAAUGGGCGAAAGCCUGAUGCAAGCAACGCCGCGUGAGUGAUGAAGGCCUUCGGGUCGUAAAACUCUGUCCUCAAGGAAGAUAAUGACGGUACUUGAGGAGGAAGCCCCGGCUAACUACGUGCCAGCAGCUGC
Molecule: ribosomal RNA, 476 nt
Filed under: uncultured bacterium
Lineage: Bacteria
Description: bacterial SSU rRNA
Rfam family: Bacterial small subunit ribosomal RNA
Source: RNAcentral